GUUGGGCGGACGCCCCGCAAACAGGGCAGCUGCGCCCGUGCCGAAGCGUUCCGCGCGCUCGGGGAAGCCUCAGGGGUGACCCGGAGGUUCAGACUCCUGUGAGGGCCAACCGAGCUUGCAGCCCCGGGAGGCGCUAUCCACCCGAACUCAGAAAAAGCCCGAGGCGCCGAGCUGACGCCAGCAAUUUAGAAAGGUGACCCUCGGCCCAUCUUGCCGGGGUAGGAGUGCGAAACGGAUAAAGUUACAGCUCGCCACACACGCAGAUGGAAAGUCGGGCCGUCCUGCCGGUGUGGGGUGACGCCUCAUUGUGGUUGUGAUCUGCGUCUCCCUGAUGAUCCGUGAUACUGAGCAUCUCUUCAUGUACCUGUUGUCCACCUGUCUUCUUUGGAAAAAUGUCUCCAAUUUUACUUCUAAGUAAUCUCUACACCCAACGUGGGGCUCAAACUCACAACCCCAAGGUCAAGAGUCACGUGCUCUGCAGACUGAGCCAGCCAGUUGCCCCUGGAACCGCUGAUUUUCAACUGCUGAUUCAAUUUUUAAAUGGUUCUAAGACUAUAUAGGUAUUGUACUUCUUAAGACUUUUGAAAAGUUAUUUAAAUAAAACAUUUUCUCUGAAUUUCAAAUUUAUUAGCAUAAGGUGUUCAGAAUGUUUUUAUAUUUUAAUCUCUGCUUUCUGUCCCUUUAUUUCUAAUAUUUGUGCUUUCUUUUUCCCUCAUCAGUUUUGCCACAGGUUUGUCUACUUUAUUAUCAAAUUUAGCCUGUGGAAUUAUCCCAUUAUUUCUCUGUCUUCUAGUUAAUUAAUUGACUUCUUUUCUUAGCUCCUUUCAUUUUUUCAUAUGGGGUUAGUUUGCUGGUUCUUAACAUUGAACACUUAGUCAAUU
Ailuropoda melanoleuca (giant panda) is the source of this 881-nucleotide long non-coding RNA. RefSeq lists it as uncharacterized. The record is from RefSeq and is a predicted model, not a curated record. The transcript is spliced from 3 exons. NCBI's taxonomy places the organism in Eukaryota, Metazoa, Chordata, Mammalia, Carnivora, Ursidae.